GCAAAGGUAGCAUAAUAAUUUGCCCUUUAAUUGGGGGCUUGUAUGAAUGGACCCACUUCAUCUAACUGUCUCAGCGCUAAUUCUGAAAAUUUCUAUCUAGACGAAGAAGCCUAGAUUUUCUAGAAAGACCAAAAGACCCUAUAGAGCUCCGUAAGGCCACAGAAAACCCCUCCUACCCUUACUUCAUUGGGGCGAUGAAAAAGUCAUUCCUUCUUUUAACACAAUUACUUACCAGUUUCUUAACAACCCUCAAACGAGACCACGGACAAGCUACCUUAGGGAUAACAGUCUAAUUUUCUUUAAUAGCCCACAUUAACAAGAAAGUUUGGCAC
RNAcentral lists this ribosomal RNA (332 nucleotides) under Claudrilus ovarium. Its description in RNAcentral is "partial 16S ribosomal RNA". It matches the Rfam family "Bacterial large subunit ribosomal RNA", at positions 1950 to 2524 of the family's 2925-position model. The record is from RNAcentral. Lineage: Eukaryota; Metazoa; Annelida; Polychaeta; Protodrilidae.